RNAcentral lists this ribosomal RNA (428 nucleotides) under Terrahaemophilus aromaticivorans. RNAcentral describes it as "bacterial SSU rRNA". It matches the Rfam family "Bacterial small subunit ribosomal RNA", at positions 30 to 453 of the family's 1533-position model. The record is from RNAcentral. Lineage: Bacteria; Pseudomonadati; Pseudomonadota; Gammaproteobacteria; Pasteurellales; Pasteurellaceae.
AUUGAACGCUGGCGGCAGGCUUAACACAUGCAAGUCGAACGGUAACAUAAAGAAGCUUGCUUCUUUGAUGACGAGUGGCGGACGGGUGAGUAAUGCUUGGGAAUCUAGCUUAUGGAGGGGGAUAACUACGGGAAACUGUAGCUAAUACCGCGUAGAACCGAGAGAUGAAAGUGUGGGACCUUCGGGCCACAUGCCAUAGGAUGAGCCCAAGUGGGAUUAGGUAGUUGGUGAGGUAAAGGCUCACCAAGCCGACGAUCUCUAGCUGGUUGAGAGGAUGACCAGCCACACUGGGACUGAGACACGGCCCAGACUCCUACGGGAGGCAGCAGUGGGGAAUAUUGCGCAAUGGGGGCAACCCUGACGCAGCCAUGCCGCGUGAAUGAAGAAGGCCUUCGGGUUGUAAAGUUCUUUCGGUAGCGAGGAAGGCA